AAAAAUGGUGAAAAAUGAACUUAAAAAUGGUGAAAAAAUAGGAAAAAAAAGACCCAAAAAAUGGUGAAAAAUUAUGCAAAAAAUGGCCAAAAAAAAGCCCAAAAAUUGUCAAAUAAGGACCCUAAAAUCGGCCCGAUAAAAGACCCCAAAAUUGGUGCAAAAACCCCCAAAAUUGGCCCAAAAUUGCCCAAAAACCGCGGAAAAUUUCAAGGAAGAAAAGCGGCCAUUUUUUUUUUUUUUUGUUCAGGGGGCGUGGCCACGCUGUGCGCGGCCGCUGAUUGGUUGAACCCGGGAAGGGGCGUGGCCAGGCGGCGCCGGCGGGAAGCGGCGGGCCGGGAUGGCGCCGCUGAUUGGGCCGCGGAGGGGAAGGGGCGGGGUUUAAGGGCGGAAGAGCGUCGGGAUUGGCUGGAGGUUUGGGGUUUGGGAAGGGGGCGUGGCUUCGAGCCGCGUUUGGCGGGAGCGGCGCGCGCGGGAGCGGCCCGGGACCCCUCCCCCCUCCCCCAACACCGGGAGCCACGUGACCCGCGGGAGACCACGCCCACCCAAACACCGACCCGACCACGUGACCCGCGGGAGAGCCGCCCCUCCCCCCACCGGGAACCGGGUGCCCCUCCCCUUCCCUUUUAGCCCCUCCCCCUCCCUUUUAGCCCCUCCCCCACCCCAUUGAUGCCCCUCCCCCCCACGCCCCCUCCCCCGCGCCGCCCCUCCCGGCCAAUCAGACGCGUCCCUGGCCCGGCUGGGGCAAGGGCGGGGCCGGCGAGGGGAGGGCGUGGUCGUGCACCUGACCACGCCCACCUCUGGCCCCGCCCCUUCCCUGGAGGAUUUCGAGAUCGUCCGGAGCCUCGGGAGGGGCAGCCGGGGGGAGGUGCUGGAGGUGCGCCGCCUCUCGGACGGUUCCCGCUUCGCCCUCAAGCGCUCGCUCCGCCCCCUCUCGGGCCCCGCCCAGCGCCGCCAUUGGCUGCGGGAGUGCCACGCCCAGCUGGGGGCGGGGCCGGCGCCGGGGCUCCUCCCCCUGCUGGCGGCCUGGGAGCAGCGACGUCACUUCCUGUUGCUGCUCCCGCUGUGCCCGGCCGGAAGUUUGGGCAGCCAAUGGCGGCGAGGGGGUGGGGCCAAGCUACAAAGGGGCGUGGCUCGGCUCUGGAGGGGCGUGGUCUCGCCCCUGAGGGGCGUGGCUUGGGUU
This is a long non-coding RNA of Camarhynchus parvulus, 1180 nucleotides long. RefSeq lists it as uncharacterized. The transcript has 3 exons. Lineage: Eukaryota; Metazoa; Chordata; Aves; Passeriformes; Thraupidae. The record is from RefSeq and is a predicted model, not a curated record.